ACACCUCAACUCUCAUGGUUUGCCAUGAUGAGCUUGGACUUUGGGGGUCUUGCUGGCCUGUUGGUCGGCUCCUCUCAAAUGAAUCAGCUUGCCAGUGUUUGGUGGCAUCACAGGUGUGAUAACUAUCUACGCUUGUCGCUGUCCGCCAGGUAACCUUCAGCGAUGGAGGUUCGCUGGAGCUCAUAGACGUCUCUCCUCAGUGAGGACAGCUUUUGAAC
RNAcentral lists this unclassified non-coding RNA (218 nucleotides) under uncultured Tomentella. RNAcentral's name for it is "sequence contains ITS2". The record is from RNAcentral. Lineage: Eukaryota; Fungi; Basidiomycota; Agaricomycetes; Thelephorales; Thelephoraceae.